UUAACUAUUAUAUAGUACUCAGACGACUAAAUUAUACAAGAGUUUUGUGGUCCUCUGGCGAGCACGCACCAGCGGAAGCCGGUGGCCGAAGCGGCUCGCCAAAGCAACAAAGGUUUUAAUAACAUAGGGUUGGAGAGUCACCCGUGAGGGCGAUGUUCUCUGUAAUGAUCCCUCCGCAGGUUCACCUACGGAGA
This 194-nucleotide unclassified non-coding RNA is filed under the name uncultured fungus. RNAcentral's name for it is "sequence contains ITS1". The record is from RNAcentral. Lineage: Eukaryota; Fungi.